GCCGGAGUGGUGAAACUGGUAGACGCACUGGACUCAAAAUCCAGCGGAUUCACGUCCAUGUCGGUUCGAUUCCGACCUCCGGCACCA
RNAcentral lists this transfer RNA (87 nucleotides) under Desulfobulbaceae bacterium S5133MH15. RNAcentral describes it as "tRNA-Leu". It matches the Rfam family "tRNA". From Rfam's summary of the family: Transfer RNA (tRNA) molecules are approximately 80 nucleotides in length. Their secondary structure includes four short double-helical elements and three loops (D, anti-codon, and T loops). Further hydrogen bonds mediate the characteristic L-shaped molecular structure. tRNAs have two regions of fundamental functional importance: the anti-codon, which is responsible for specific mRNA codon recognition, and the 3' end, to which the tRNAs corresponding amino acid is attached (by aminoacyl-tRNA synthetases). tRNAs cope with the degeneracy of the genetic code in two manners: having more than one tRNA (with a specific anti-codon) for a particular amino acid; and 'wobble' base-pairing, i.e. permitting non-standard base-pairing at the 3rd anti-codon position. The record is from RNAcentral. Lineage: Bacteria; Pseudomonadati; Thermodesulfobacteriota; Desulfobulbia; Desulfobulbales; Desulfobulbaceae.